ACGAAUAACUAUGGUGUUGGUUGUAGCUGCCUUCUCGGAGGAUGUGCACGCCCGCCAUUCUUAUCUUUCCACCUGUGCACCGACUGUAGGUCUUGGAUAACUCUCGUCUCCUCAACUUGGGGAGCGGAUGCGAGGAUUGCUUUCGAGCUCUCCUCGAAUUUCCAGGUCUAUGUCUUUUUACAAACCCCAAAUAGUAUGAUUCAGAAUGUAGUCAAUGAAUGGGCUUUUACAGCCUAUAAAACAUUAUA
This 248-nucleotide unclassified non-coding RNA is filed under the name uncultured Basidiomycota. RNAcentral describes it as "sequence contains ITS1". The record is from RNAcentral. Lineage: Eukaryota; Fungi; Basidiomycota.